UUUUCGCUACUAGAAACUCAGUGGGAUUUUAGCCAACGAAUUAAUGAGCAUAUCAAGCAAAAUGAAAGGUGUCACAAAUGUGCAUGUAUUACACCUUUACUUUACUGUGGUCAUUAUAAAUUUUGUUGUAAGGUAUGAAAUGUUUCUACCUAAUCCGUGUAUUUUCUUACCCAGACUACGAUAUGGGGAAAUUUCAGGCACAAUACUUACUUACAUCCAUUGACAUGGGAAUUUGGGGUAGAAAGUGAGGCAGAUUGCUACAUCUGCCAUUUAAAAAAUGUACUGUCUCCUCCUCUCUCUAUGUAUACAUACAAAACCAGUGUCCUAUCAUUCUCCGAUGGUGGGAUACCCCUCAUACCCUUCCUAAUUCCCUCCAAGUUAAAAUCUUUAACACUUCUUUUGAAGCCUUGUGAUAUAAUUUUCAAGGACAUGGAAUUGCUGAUGUAUUUUUAAUUACUGUCAAGUAAAACCAGACAUUCUACAGAGAUCACCCUCUGUCUUUCCAUUCUAUAUUCAUUGGGAAGAAACAUAAAAAGUUACAUUACCACAACAGGAAUCUUUUUGAAGCCUUUGCCUUUCUGCUUGAACAGUCAUGUUUUUCAACAUGUGGUCUAGUAUAGUUGCUUGAAUUACAUUUUCUGUUUAACUCUUGCUUCCCUCCCAGAACUUUAACACAAUAAGAGCUACAAAGGUCUUAUUAGACUUAGGAACUCUGGCAUGAUAUGGUCCCCAAGGGAACAACAUCCUUGAAAAAGAAUACCCUGUGUAACAGUAUGACACAGUGACUGCUUUCUUCCCAAACAAAAAGCAUAUGGGACUCCAAUAAUAGACCACCUCCAAGAGGGAUACUGCACACUCGGGCUUUGACUAAAGUAAAUAUAAUAACUUGUCAAGCAUGUUGUGGGGAGCUGUAGAUUUUCCCCUGGACAAACCUGGAAUAUCAAUUAACUCUGUAAAAUACUCUGUGCUAAUACAAUGCAACUUCAGACCAUCAAUGAAAAGUGGUUAAGCACAAAAACACAGGAUGUUAUUCCAAAACAUAACCUUCCUCAUACAGUUUGUUUGGAGAUACGACCUAUCACUGAGACAAUAACAGUAGAAGUCUAUUUCUGUAAUUUUCUUUUGGUACCUAGGGAAUGUCAACAGAUAGCACACGAAACAAAGCAGCUUCACUUGUAUAUUACAUUAGUUCCUGGCUAACAGUAUCUUGCCUUGAUAACAUCCACCUUUGACCAUGAAUAAAACCACGCCAAGGCUAUGGAGAUAUUAUUGAGGGAGACCACAAAGACUUAACUGCAAAAGGACACUGCAGCAGCUCUUAUGUCUCCUAGAACAUAAUCAAAUUUGUAGCAACUGCAGCAUCUACACAAAGCCACUUCAAAAUGCAUGUUUCCUUUUUGGUUUUCAGUAUGUCACUAUUACCUUCUAAGAUCUGAAUUAACAAACACAACAGUGACAGGGUGUAUAGCAGGAAAACACAUUCCCACAUUAAGGUCAGGCACAAUUGUUGCAUCAGGCAGAAUCAUGGGAGUUUAAUGUUGAAAACAGGAGUUUAUUAGUAAAAACAUUUCAUCCAAUUUCUAAUAUUGCCAAUAAUCAGUCAUUUUCAUUUUGGUAACUAUUUAAAAGAAAAAUAUUUUCAGGUAAUAUUAGCCUAAGCAUAAGUUAAACUUCAUCUCUCAAAAUAAGCUUAGUAGCCCAUCUGUAUAAAUCAGGGUCCUGCAUACGCUAAGGCAGAACCCCAUGACCCCAGCAGCAGCUUCUCUUUUUACACAGUUGGGAAUACCUUGAAAUGGUGGCAAAAGGUGGAGUGGCCAGCAGUGUCCUUUGGCAGCACAAUGGCUAAACUAUGGUCCUCAUCCUACAUGCAGACUUGAUUGUUUGGACUGGCACCUAAAUCACCCCAAAGAGCAACUUGCGCUACUUGCUCCUCUAUAUGCUCACUCACUGCGUACAUGGAUCCUGCUUCCUGACCCUUAAAAUAGCCUGUCAACACAUAAAAAUAGAGUACAAUAACUGAAUAUAGUAGUGCAUGAUGAUGAUCGAGUAACCAUGAUCAGUGAUUGUACCUCUGUUGUGCUAUACCGGGACCUUCUGAGAAGCAGGAACACCUGUUUCAGGUGUGCAUGUUUUAUAUGCACAUUUAUACAUUAGGAGGGAAAGAGGAAAUGUCUUUCAUACUUCUCAAUUAUGGAGCUACAGUAAGGUUGUCAUAACUUUGAAUGUUUACAAUUACUUACACUCUUAAUUCUUAAGGCUUUUGGAGUGUUUUGGGGUUUUUUUUUUUUUUUUGUAAUUAAUGAGACUCUUCACAUACACUUGAAGCAAACCUCAGCUGCUCAGAAACCUACAAAUUUUUUCCACCGGCCACUUGCAAAGAGCACCUCAAGGAGCUGAGUAUUAGAAACAUAGUGCUGUGGGGUUGCACAAAUCAAGUAUGUGUUUAUCUGCCAUGCAUGUCAUUUUUAUCUCCUGUAUAAUCAGGUGAUAUUCUAGGAAAUGCUGCUCUCCAAAGCACAACUGGAAAGAAGAAAAUUAUCUGAAGCCCACUUACACCAACUGGAAACCUUCCAUUGCUUUCAAUGGCUUUUGACCAGGCCAUGAGUGCCUAAAAUUAAUCAUUUCACAUGACUAAGGCAGGUUGUCC
Strigops habroptila (Kakapo) is the source of this 2647-nucleotide long non-coding RNA. Lineage: Eukaryota; Metazoa; Chordata; Aves; Psittaciformes; Psittacidae. The record is from Ensembl.